RNAcentral lists this small RNA (245 nucleotides) under Mesobacillus persicus. RNAcentral describes it as "Bacillus sp. B48(2010) BsrG". It matches the Rfam family "BsrG". From Rfam's summary of the family: bsrE, bsrG and bsrH pair through intermolecular interactions with antisense sRNAs. SR4 interaction with the 3'UTR of bsrG RNA promotes bsrG degradation and inhibits its translation. SR5 also overlaps bsrG from nucleotide 163 to 52 (Rfam overlap check). Lineage: Bacteria; Bacillati; Bacillota; Bacilli; Caryophanales; Bacillaceae. The record is from Rfam by way of RNAcentral.
UAGAAUAGGUUUCUCAAGGGUGGUCAGCUAAUCCCCUAAUGAAAGGGGGUGAUGCUGUGACGGUAUUUGAAGCAUUGAUGUUUGCAUGUGCUUUUGCAAGCUUAAUUGUUGCAAUCCUGUCUUUUACCAAUAAAAAAUAACCCACCCUUGAGCCUAGCAGCCAGGUGGAUUAUUUCCCUCUAUAGCUGAUCCCCUUUUAAGGGACCUUCUAUUGUAUCGACCGUUUGGUGUUACCAGCACCAGCG